RNAcentral lists this ribosomal RNA (438 nucleotides) under Borreliella afzelii. RNAcentral's name for it is "bacterial SSU rRNA". Lineage: Bacteria; Pseudomonadati; Spirochaetota; Spirochaetia; Spirochaetales; Borreliaceae. The record is from RNAcentral.
GGRAUGUAGCAAUACAUUUAGUGGCGAACGGGUGAGUAACGCGUGGAUGAUCUACCUAUGAGAUGGGGAUAACUAYUAGAAAUAGUAGCUAAUACCGAAUAAGGUCAAUUAAUUUGUUAAUUGAUGAAAGGAAGCCUUUAAAGCUUCGCUUGUAGAUGAGUCUGCGUCUUAUUAGUUAGUUGGUGGGGUAAAUGCCUACCAAGRCGAUGAUAAGUAACCGGCCUGAGAGGGUGAACGGUCACACUGGAACUGAGAUACGGUCCAGACUCCUACGGGAGGCAGCAGCUAAGAAUCUUCCGCAAUGGGCGAAAGCCUGACGGAGCGACACUGCGUGAAUGAAGAAGGUCGAAAGAUUGUAAAAUUCUUUUAUAAAUGAGGAAUAAGCUUUGUAGGAAAUGACAAAGYGAUGACGUUAAUUUAUGAAUAAGCCCCGGCUAA